GACAGAGGUGCCGAGCGUUAGGCGGAAUCACUGGGCUUAAAGCGUGUGUAGGCGGACUUCUAAGUACCUUGUGAAAUCCCACGGCUCAACCGUGGAACUGCUUGGUAUACUGGUCGUCUUGAGCCACCUAGGGGCAACCGGAACAAACGGUGGAGCGGUGAAAUGCGUAGAUAUCAGGAGGAACACCGGUGGCGAAGGCGGGUCUCUGGGCCGUAACUGACGCUGAGGAGCGAAAGCGUGGGGAGCGAACAGG
Molecule: ribosomal RNA, 253 nt
Filed under: uncultured bacterium
Lineage: Bacteria
Description: partial 16S ribosomal RNA
Rfam family: Bacterial small subunit ribosomal RNA
Source: RNAcentral